This is a long non-coding RNA of Solanum lycopersicum (tomato), 899 nucleotides long. RefSeq lists it as uncharacterized. The record is from RefSeq and is a predicted model, not a curated record. NCBI's taxonomy places the organism in Eukaryota, Viridiplantae, Streptophyta, Magnoliopsida, Solanales, Solanaceae.
CCCCUCUCCCUCUUCUCACUCUCGUCUUUCUCUCCUCCCCCUUUUUUCUCUCCCCCACUCUCUCUCUCCUCAUUUUCCUCUUCUCCUCUCUCACCCUCGCAUCUCUUCUCUUCCCCUUCUUCUUCUCUUUUCAAUUUUUCUUAAUGCAGGGAAUCAACAACAACUGCAGGCGAAUUCCUCUGCUCACCAGCAACACCAGUAGCUUGACAGCACCGAUGGAGGAUGCUCCGAACGGCUGCUCCCUCCGCCUCGCCGCCCUCUCCUCCUCCAUCCUCCCUCCCCUAUCGCUUCCUCCUUCUCUUUUCUUUCUCUCCAAUCUCCCCUCCCUCCUCUUCCUCCUCCUCCUUCUUCUUCUUUUUUUCUCUCUUUGUAGGUCAAGUAGCAUCCCACUGGAAAGCAACCACUGGCGACAGCGGCUCCGGCAGAGAUGAGCAGGACAACCAGCGAAAACAAGCGAACUACGACAAUGUAUUCAAAAGUUUCAAGGGGGGUUAAGGACAAAUUUUUAACAAGAUUUGUCCAGAAAUCAUGCCUGAAUUGGUUAGUGAGUUGGAGAGCUACAUCCCCAAGCUACACUAUAGAAGAGUAUGUUGGGAAUUCCCUAGCGGACAAUGGAUUAAAUGUAACACAGAUGGUGCAUCAAGAGGUAAUCCAGGUAAGAGUGGUGCUGCUGUGGUGCUUAGAGAUGCUGCUGGUGAUUUUCUGUGUGCUGCUACCCAUUCAAACUAAUAUGUAUUCAGAGAUAAUGGCUAUUCAGUUAGCUGCUGAAAUCUGUGUGUUAAGUGUUUUUAAUAACUUUUGCAUGUUUAAAUAUGAGAUAAAUUUGUAAAUGUUUUUUGAUCAUUGUAAAUAACAAUAAAUCUCCGCAUUUAUUAUUUAUGCAUGUGUUUAUCCUAAAA